AUCCAGAGGAAGCUGGCCUCCGAGGA
This 26-nucleotide non-coding RNA is filed under the name Homo sapiens (human). Lineage: Eukaryota; Metazoa; Chordata; Mammalia; Primates; Hominidae. The record is from RNAcentral.